UACGUAGGGUGCAAGCGUUGUCCGGAAUUAUUGGGCGUAAAGAGCUCGUAGGCGGUUUGUCGCGUCCGCUGUGAAAACUCAGGGCUUAACCCUGAGCCUGCAGUGGGUACGGGCAGACUAGAGUGUGGUAGGGGAGAUCGGAAUUCCUGGUGUAGCGGUGGAAUGCGCAGAUAUCAGGAGGAACACCGGUGGCGAAGGCGGAUCUCUGGGCCAUAACUGACGCUGAGGAGCGAAGGCCAGGGGAGCAAACGGG
This 253-nucleotide ribosomal RNA is filed under the name uncultured bacterium. Its description in RNAcentral is "partial 16S ribosomal RNA". It matches the Rfam family "Bacterial small subunit ribosomal RNA", at positions 524 to 776 of the family's 1533-position model. The record is from RNAcentral.